UACGAAGGGGGCUAGCGUUGCUCGGAAUCACUGGGCGUAAAGGGUGCGUAGGCGGGUCUUUAAGUCAGGGGUGAAAUCCUGGAGCUCAACUCCAGAACUGCCUUUGAUACUGAAGAUCUUGAGUCCGGGAGAGGCGAGUGGAACUGCGAGUGUAGAGGUGAAAUUCGUAGAUAUUCGCAAGAACACCAGUGGCGAAGGCGGCUCACUGGCCCGGUACUGACGCUGAGGCACGAAAGCGUGGGGAGCAAACAGG
RNAcentral lists this ribosomal RNA (253 nucleotides) under uncultured bacterium. RNAcentral's name for it is "partial 16S ribosomal RNA". It matches the Rfam family "Bacterial small subunit ribosomal RNA", at positions 524 to 776 of the family's 1533-position model. The record is from RNAcentral.